This 465-nucleotide ribosomal RNA is filed under the name uncultured bacterium. RNAcentral's name for it is "partial 16S ribosomal RNA". It matches the Rfam family "Bacterial small subunit ribosomal RNA", at positions 28 to 507 of the family's 1533-position model. The record is from RNAcentral.
GACGAACGCUGGCGGCGUGCCUAACACAUGCAAGUCGAACGGAGUCGGCCCCGCAAGGGACUGACUUAGUGGCGAACGGGUGAGUAACGCGUGAGCAACCUGCCUUUCAGUGGGGGACAACAGUUGGAAACGACUGCUAAUACCGCAUAAUGCAUUUUGACCGCAUGAUCGAGAUGCCAAAGAUUUAUUGCUGAAAGAUGGGCUCGCGUCUGAUUAGAUAGUUGGUGAGGUAACGGCCCACCAAGUCGACGAUCAGUAGCCGGACUGAGAGGUUGAACGGCCACAUUGGGACUGAGACACGGCCCAGACGCCUACGGGAGGCAGCAGUGGGGAAUAUUGGGCAAUGGGGGAGUCCCUGACCCAGCAACGCCGCGUGGAGGAAGAAGGCUUUCGGGUUGUAAACUUCUUUUACCAGGGACGAAGAAAGUGACGGUACCUGGAGAAAAAGCCACGGCUAACUACGUG